UGCUAGCUAGUUGCUAAACAUAUUCCCUUUUCUUUGGGCCGGUGUCUUAGCUAAAAAACAUUUAUUUAGUUCCUUUACUUCCCGGAGACCGAAGAAAAAAACAAUUACGACGUCAUGUAAUACGAUGCUAGUUUUACCCACAAGUCAACGGGACGAUAGUAUAAAUUAAAACGUCACCCGCCUAAAAUUCUUUUCCGUUCAAAUCGCAAUGGGGAACGUCUGGCUAUCGUUAUGGCCUUUUGGAAAAAAGAUUCUAACAUCUAUUGCAUUUGAUCCUGGAUGACAUGAAUUGGCACUUGGGUGAUUCAGGUAUGGCAGACAAUCAAAUCUAAAUUAUAGUAAUCUAGCCUGUGAUGAAUUUGAUUAAGAGUAGUGGACAGAAAUGAUUUCUGACACAUUUUCAAACUGAUGGCCAUCUAGUAGUGCAUUGUCUGACGUGCCAUCUGGAUGCAUUAAUAAGCCAAGACUUUAUUUUCAGGCAAAUGGCGGUUUCUUUGGAAAACAUUUUUUUCACAGUAAGGUCUUGUAACACCUAACUUUGCUACUGAAAGGCUUUAAUACUGUUAAUGAUGUUUUAAGUAUCUUUGGGAAUCUCUCUGAGACAAUGUGAAAGAGACUUUAGAUCACUGAACUGGUGUACUAUAAUGUACAUCUCUACAUUAUAGUGUGCAGCUAUCUUAAUUUAUCUAUCUUCAUCAGGUCUACCUAAUUUGGACUGCCUUGGUCUGAAUUUUAAUAAUGAUCAUGGAACCAUUAAUGGAAUAGCAGAUGUUUCUGAAGUUACAGAAAGGAAGAAUGGGUGUUUUCGGUGUCUGUUGAAGAUUUGUUGACAAUCCCCUCGACAAGUCAAAGUAAAUGUACCUAUAGGUUGGGUCACGAAAGCAAGCAAGGACCGUUGUGGACCAGCUGACUUGACUGUUAAAUAGAAAAAUGUGAAUCAGACUUGACUGUUAAAUACAUGUAUUGGAACAGACACUGACUACUCUGGUUAAUGCAGCUUUGUCCAGUUAUUUACUUUAACUGUGAUUUAUCACAUCAAAUGUGAGGUUGACAAUUGUAAUGCUGUUGAAGCAUUACUUGAACUGUGCAGUAGAAAGAUGCGUACAUGGGAACUCUCCCUAACUACUUACACAAAUGUUUUGGGCAUGUUUAAGUGUACUGUAAAUUAGGCAAUAAAAGUACUCAACUAUUUGCCUUGUCUAUAUUAUUGAAUGCCUAUUAGCUUAGGAUUUCCCAACUUUUCAUGGACAUGUUGGUACAUGUAGCUAUACAGUACCUAGCGGUUUAAAUAGAUCUGGCUAACGUUUGUCUACGCCGUUGACAGCGCAAUCUAGCACAUUUGAAAUGUUGGCAAAUAGUUCAACCAUCCCUAUUACUUUGUUCAUGUUUGCUUUCGACUAAUAUCUUUGCGGUUAGAUGAUUGGAAGACCCGAUGGGUUGAAUCCAAACAUGUCGGACUACGGAAAAUGUCUUGUAUGCUGGUAAAUUCUAUGGAGAAGCUGAGACAAAUUUUAAAUAGCUAGUUAAUGUCUUGCACACGUCAGACCUUGUAAAUAUUUAACAAGGUUAACCGUGGCCAUUUCUGAAAUAUUUCCCUAGUGGAACAUCCAGCAGCUAGUCCAUUGGAAUGAACUGGUUUCAACUGGGUUUUAAAAAUCUACUGUUUAAUAAGUUAAGAAUACCCUUUGAAACCAAUCAAAACCCAUUUAAACCAAUAGACCUAUGGGUGGCACCUGCUUCACCAGUUCCAUCCAGUUGAAACCAAUAGGAUGUUACUGGCCAGUUAACAAAUUAAAAUGAAUCCAAUUGGUUAACUGGUCUAAUAAACCCAAUAGAAAGUCAUUGGUAGCAUAACUUUAAAAAAUCUACACUAUUUGCCAUGCGAUUUGUAGAAAACUAACCUUUCCGCAACCAGGCAUUCUUAACUGAUGCCUGCUGAAAAUCUUUCUCGUUUCAAAAUUAUUCGAGUCAACAAGUGUUAGAACUUUUUAUUUUGUUUUAGAAUAUGGACCUACUAUUAAUAUACAAUUCAUAACAAGAACGAUACAGAGGCUCCAGACAAACCCAAGAAAAGAUAACCAGAUGCAAAUUCAUUAACAUCUAUACGGAAAUUCGUUAUAGCAUUUACUUGAAUUUCAGCAUUUGAAUACAUAUUUAAACAUUUUUAUUAUAAUACAUUAUUUCUAUAGCACCUUUCAUAAGGACUUUACAUCCGCACACAAUAAAAACAAACAAACGUAAAAAAGAUUAACCACUCAAUUCAAAGGGCAGAAAAAGAGGAUCAAUGUUGGGCUGGACCUGUGUAUUAGAAUAUUUGGAUAAUCUUUCAUUGGGUAGGUAAUUUAUCGUCUAAAGACUGUAAAAGUAGAGCACACACUGGGUUUUGGGGAUAUUGAAACAAUCAGUCCUUUUCAUGAUUAUUAAGAAAUGUACAUAUAUACAUUUUGUCACUGAACUCAAGUAAUAAACACUUUCCAACAAUGUCACUAGGGAGCACAACACUUAUGUUCUAACCGACUGAUGCAUGUUAUGUGGGGGGUGUUUGCAAUGGCUUUGUUACGAUGAACAUUGAAAAGUUUGACAAAGAGCAUAACCUCAAUGUGUAGAUGUGCAAAUUUUGAUUAUUUCACCGAAUACAACUGUAUUGCUUGUUUUGAUGCACCUUUUGUAGCCGGUGCUGUCAAGCCUUUGACCUUUGUAGACCAGUCUGUUAUGCACUACCACAGCUGAUAUUGGCCAACCACUCUUUUGAAAUAGCUCCUGCUCUUCAGUGUUGAGUGUACACGGAUAACCCUCUUCUAAAACUGUAGUGCCGUGAUGCUCCUCAGCCACUUGUAAUCGGGGGUAAGAAGUUAAGUUGAGACAGAAUUUCAGUAUUUCAUGGUGGACUGUGUAAAUCUGAGAAAACAUGAAUGUUGUAUUUCAUAGUACAACUAUUUUUGUCAACUAUUUGAGUUGCCACACCUCUUGUUCCUUUAACAAGUUUUAAAAUCUCUCCAUUUGCUGAAUCAAAGACAAAUGCAGAAUGUGCCCAAAGAAGCCUGCAUAGCUUAACACUUUUAACAAAGGUGAAGUGCACAUUUGAAGUCAUUUGUUCCUCAUAAAGCUCCUGAACCCUAAACACAAACUCAAGUAAAAGAACAUCUGCUUAAUUUAUAUCAUUUGGGAAAAUGUUGGACUUCAGCAAGAGGUAAAUGGCUUGAACUAAUUUGGCAGUGUUGUAUGUACUUUGAAGGCAAAGUCCAUUCAGACAGGGCAAAUAAUAAAAUAGUAACCAGGUACGCCACUCAGAAGCUUUCCAGAAUUUCUGCUCUUUCAAUGAUCUGGGUAAGGGUGAAAUAUUUCUAGGUGGGUGAAUAGAAAGCAGUCUUGAGUCUAUUGAUUGUAAGUGACUUGGGGUACCAAUGUAAAAUUCUCUUCCCACUGAAUUUAGCCAGAGCUCUGCAAUUUGUCUUGUUACACCAAGAAGAGUACAGUGCAUGUAGUCUGGUGUAAAACCCCAGAAUAUGUUGAAAUGUGGCACAUUUAUAAGAGGAGAAGGACCUUUAACACCCUUAUAACUAACCCUGUCUUGAAGAGCAUUCUCCAUGUGCCUCAAAAUUUAUUUUUCUGUUCUGUCAGGGUACUGUGAUUGUGAAACAGGGUAUUUAACUUGCCCUGCUACCAAUUUCCCAGGAUGAUAGCACAAACUGCACACAAAGUAACCAUUGUAUUGCAUUGUGUUCUGCAUGGUAGGUCUUGCCACCGAAUCAACAACAUAAACUUAUUAAUUUAGAAAUGACUACCUGUUUGGAUUUAGUCAGUCACCUAACUCCAUUUUCUGCCAGUGUUUUAGCAUCUUCAACAAAAUGAUGGAGGAAACUACUCAUUUUAGGAUGCCCCUUUCCAAACCACAGACAAGCCAGAGCCAUGUGAUUCCCUCUCUCUUUUGUUGGUAGCUCAUUUAUCAUCACAUGAAUAGGCCAAUUUGAAAUUACCAAGGCCAGGCUCCUUUCUGAUGAAGAGAACACACUGAGACAGCGUCUAGAGACGAAGAGGGCCCCCAUCCCCAAAAUAAGGACAGAAACUGCGUCACCCAACAGGAAAGGCAGCGCUGAGGAGGUGACCGCCAAUAGGAAAGAUACCUCGGAGAGAGUACCAAAGACUAAAGAAAAAGAAGUGUGCUUUCUUCGGAUGAUGAGGAUUCGGAAUGCACAGAUGAAGGUGGAGUGGUCCCUCAGCAAAUUUAUGAUGAAUUGCUCCAAGGGUACCAUCAGUUAAAGAAAAAAAAACAACAACUGUCAGUGGAUCUCAGAGAUCUUCAACAGAAAUAUGCAGAAUUGGAAAAAGUAAAAAAAGAAAUACAAAAUGAGCGUGACCGGUACAAAAGCUACCUAUGCUCCAUCCAGGGCAAUGUACACUGAACACUGCUCCAAAGGGAGGUGUUAGAGGUAUCCAGGAGUUCACCUGUUCAACCCAGCACCUCACAGGCCAGUCAGGAAACAAUCUUUCCCUGCCCAGAUGGAAAGGUACUGUAACGAGGACGCACGUGGAAGACGCGCGCCACCCCUCCCGAUGUGGUGUUCGGCGCACGUCAUCAC
This is a long non-coding RNA of Esox lucius (northern pike), 4580 nucleotides long. RefSeq lists it as uncharacterized. NCBI's taxonomy places the organism in Eukaryota, Metazoa, Chordata, Actinopteri, Esociformes, Esocidae. The transcript is spliced from 10 exons. The record is from RefSeq and is a predicted model, not a curated record.